UAGGGAAUCUUCGGCAAUGGGGGGAACCCUGACCGAGCAACGCCGCGUGAGUGAAGAAGGUUUUCGGAUCGUAAAGCUCUGUUGUUAAGGAAGAACGAGUGUGAGAAUGGAAAGUUCAUACUGUGACGGUACUUAACCAGAAAGGGACGGCUAACUACGUGCCAGCAGCCGCGGUAAUACGUAGGUCCCGAGCGUUGUCCGGAUUUAUUGGGCGUAAAGCGAGCGCAGGCGGUUAGAUAAGUCUGAAGUUGAAGGCAGUGGCUCAACCAUUGUAGGCUUUGGAAACUGUUUAACUUGAGUGCAGAAGGGGAGAGUGGAAUUCCAUGUGUAGCGGUGAAAUGCGUAGAUAUAUGGAGGAACACCGGUGGCGAAAGCGGCUCUCUGGUCUGUAACUGACGCUGAGGCUCGAAAGCGUGGGGAGCGAACAGG
Molecule: ribosomal RNA, 429 nt
Filed under: Bacteroidota bacterium
Lineage: Bacteria; Pseudomonadati; Bacteroidota
Description: Bacteroidetes bacterium partial 16S ribosomal RNA
Rfam family: Bacterial small subunit ribosomal RNA
Source: RNAcentral